Molecule: ribosomal RNA, 405 nt
Filed under: uncultured bacterium
Lineage: Bacteria
Description: partial 16S ribosomal RNA
Rfam family: Bacterial small subunit ribosomal RNA
Source: RNAcentral
GACGAACGCUGGCGGCGUGCUUAACACAUGCAAGUCGAACGAGUGGCGAACGGGGGGGUAGCACGUGGGUUACCUGCCCUGCACUUCGGGAUAAGCCGGGGGAAAUGGGUCUGAUACAGGAGAGUGAGGGGUGGGUCCGCGGCCUAUCAGCGUGUGGGCGGGGUAAGGGCUACCAAGUCGCGACGGGUAGCCGGCCUGAGAGGGUGGACGGCCACAUUGGGACUGAGACACGGCCCAGACUCCUACGGGAGGCAGCAGUGGGGAAUAUUGGACAAUGGGCGGAAGCCUGAUGGAGCGACGCCGCGUGGGUGAUGACGGCUUUCGGGUCGUAAAGUACUUUCAGCAGGGAGGCGUUACCUGCCCAGGAAGCCCCGGCUAUCUACGUGCCAGCAGCCGCGGUAAUUC